Pelodiscus sinensis (Chinese soft-shelled turtle) is the source of this 6554-nucleotide non-coding RNA. NCBI's taxonomy places the organism in Eukaryota, Metazoa, Chordata, Testudines, Trionychidae. The record is from RefSeq and is a predicted model, not a curated record.
GAGGCUCUUUUGCUCACCCCUGUGCUAGACUAUUCAUUGUUUUUUAACCUCUUCUGGUUUCAUAUGUUUCUUGUAACUGGUGGGGGAUUUAAAACUCUGAGGCUCAAUGAACUGAGCCUGAGGCUUUGGUAAUUCGGAGUUUCUCCUUUGUGUGUUUCUGUUGCAGCCACAGAAUUGUGGUAUUGAAGUGUAGUUGAAAUGUGGAGUUUUAAUCAUUCGUUUUAGCUUGGUAUGAUGUAAUAUGCCUUGGUGAGUCCUGCCGGCCACCCUUUCUAAGUAGCAGAACAUGGCCGUGGUAGAGAUGCCUCAGGCUGUCUGUGUCUGUCACUGAUGUAAAGAUGGGAACAGACCAGAAGAGUUCUCGUGACUCACUGUGCUCACCCUUUUGCCCUUAAAAUGUAAGAUUUAAGAAGGCUUCUAUUAGAUUUUUAAUGUGGAAAAUUCUGUAACAAUUAGCGAGAAUGUUCUGUGCGGUCUUUAUGAAAGAAACGAUGUAAUCCUCGUUUGUGCGAGUGAGGAAUGCACGCACGGGAAAAGAUAAGAGUGAAGGCCAUUACGGCAUCCAGCUGGCCAAAGGAGGGGCCGGAAACUCAGGGCCACCAAGAGACUAUUAAAUGCACCCACUGUACCUAAUGAGUAACAAGGGGCAGAUUGAUGACCCUGAAGCACCCCCGGAGUUUUAAAAUAACAAAAUAGAAAAGACCAGAAUGUGCCAACGCUCAGAAAAAUACAUCAAAAUCCUAAUGUAGCAUGACAAUGAAAACAAUCUUAAAAUGAACAUUUGCGGCAAAGUAAUUAAUGACAAUAGAAUGCUGCAAAACUCAGACCCGCAUAAAAACAUGUAUGAAAGAUGGGGUGUCUUCUAUGGAACUUUGGGAUUCUUUCUGUAAAACACAGGACAUCAGAUCAUGAUCGAUAGAACCCGGCAUCUCUACUUAGGCUCAACUUACCUGGCCAUUAGAUUGGUCCGAGCCACAGAACAGGAAUUAUCCCACCUUUCAUACUUAACAGCAUCACUUUUGUUCCUUAAUAAACCCAGUGUAACUAAUUUUUGUCUGGGGGGAGGAGGCAAGGAGUCUGUGCACCUCUCUUAUAGUGAGACAGGGUGAAUUUCAUGAGGUUGUCCUGCACAGAGCUGUACACAGCCUGAGAUGGAUUUCUCUAGGAUUCAGUGCCCAGAGAGACUGUGUACUUGAGUGCCUGGAAAAUGUCUCACAGUGCAUCUGUGCUGAACAGGCUGAAGAACUGGGCUCAGCAAGACGGGGUUAAAGGGUGCCCAGGCUGUCAGGGAAAGCAGGCUUAGUGGGAAUCAGCACGUCAGGUGACAAUUCGGAGGGGUCCCUGACCACCCACAACUAGCACUCCAAGUUUCUGGGGAUUCAGAUGGAUUUAGUUUGUCAAUAUAUUCAAGAGAUUAGAUGUAUCUGAACCCAAACCUUAUUGUCCUGUUAACCACACGGUAGAAGGGUUACAUGCAAAGGGGCUUGUCUUCAAAUUAAGCAAACUGGACUUCAUUCAAAGCACAGUCACAUCCUCAUUGGUCCGUGUCCGUCGGCUUGCAAAGCAGUAACCAGUCACCGUGCCACCCACUGGGAACUGGAUAAAAGCGGCUGGACACCCACAGACCGGCCCAAGACGGGAUAACAAGGCUGUAGCGGUUGAAGCUCCUGGAAGAGAACUGGAGUUUCUACCUGUCUCCCAAAGCCGGUGACGGCAGGUGCCCAGGUGAGCUGUGCGAGGAUGGCGCUUCUCUGGUGCCUGUGGAUGGUGAUUGGGAUCCUCGCAGAGCCUGGGGUCUCUCAGGACUGCACCCCAACGCCAGGGGCUCAGAACCUGGCGCUGCAACGUACGGCCAAUCAGUCGUCCACGUAUGAGGACAACACUGGGAUAUCCGUGCCUGCAAGGGCCGUGGACGGAAAACGUGAUGGGUAUCAAGAUCAGGGCUCCUGCAGCCACACCAAGCUCGACAGAGAGCCGUGGUGGAGCGUGGACUUGGGCAGCCGGUAUUCUGUUUCCAUGGUGAUUGUGAAGAACAGGGAAGACAAGUGUUGUUGGGAGAGACUGAAGGGGGCCCAGAUCUACGUGGGAGACUCCCAGAAUUACCAUGAACUCAACAACGCCAUCUGUGGGACCAUCACCGACCCCACUGCCGGAUCCCUCAGCACCAUCUGCUGCAACGGGCUGGAGGGCCGCUACGUCACCAUCGUCAUCCCGGGCAGGGAGGAGUAUCUGUCCCUGUGUGAGGUCGAGGUUCUCUCUCAGGGCUGUACCCCACCUCCAGGGGCUCAGAACUUGGCGCUGGGGCGUCCGGCCAAUCAGUCAUCCACAUUACUGGACAAGACUGGACAAGCUGUGCCUGGAAGAGCCGUGGAUGGAAACCGUGAUGGGAAGUUUGAAGUUGGCUCCUGCAGCCACACCACUCUCAUAAGAGAGCCAUGGUGGAACGUGGACUUGGGGAGGCGAUAUUCUGUCUCCAUGGUGAUCGUGAAGCAUGGGGAAAACAAGUGUUGUGGAGUGAGAUUGAAGGGUGCCGAGAUCCACGUGGGGGACUCCAUAGUGAACCAUGGCAAGGACAACCCCAUCUGCGGGACCAUUAACGACACCAGACCCGGAUCCCUCAGCACCAUCUGCUGCGACGGGCUGGAGGGCCGCUAUGUCACCAUCGUCAUCCCGGGCAGGUCGGAGUAUCUGACCCUGUGUGAGGUCGAGGUUCUGUCUCAGGGCUGCUCCCAGCCCCCAUGGGCUCAGAACUUGGCGCUGGGACGUCCGGCCACUCAGUCGUCCACGCACAAGGAUGACACUGGAAAAGCCGAGCCUGGAAGGGCCGUGGACGGAAACCGUGAUGGGAAUUAUAAACAAGGCUCCUGCAGCCUCACCAAGCUCGAAAAUGAGCCGUGGUGGAACGUGGACUUGGGCAGCCGGCAUUCCGUCUCCAUGGUGAUCGUGAAGAACAGGGAAGACGAGUGCUGUUGGGAGAGGCUGAAGGGGGCUCAGAUCCAUGUGGGAGACUCCCUGGCCAACCACGGCAAGGACAACCCCCUCUGCGGGACCAUCACCAACAUCAGACCUGGAUCUCUCAGCACUGUCUGCUGCAGAGGCUUGGAGGGUCAUUAUGUCACCAUCGUCAUCCCAGACAGGGAGGAGUAUCUGACCCUGUGUGAGGUCGAGGUUCUAUCUCAGGGCUGUGCCCCACCGCCAGGGGCUCAGAACUUGGCGCUCAGACGUCCGGCCAUGCAGUCGUCCACAAUCAGGGACUUUACUGGAGAAGCUGUGUCAGGAAGGGCCGUGGAUGGAAACCGUGAAGGGGCGUAUGAUCAAAGCUCCUGCAGCCACACCAGGUUUGACACAGAGCCGUGGUGGAGCGUGGACUUGGGCAGCCGGCGUUCCGUCUCCUUGGUGAUCGUGAAGAACAGGGAAGAAGAAUGCUGUGCGGAGAGACUAAAAGGGGCCCAGAUCCACGUGGGCAACUCUGUGGCUAACGGUGGCAGGCGCAACCCCAUCUGCGGGACCAUCACCGACCCCAGUCCCGGAUCCGUCAACACCGUCUGCUGCAACGGGCUGGAGGGCCGCUACGUCACCAUCGUCAUCCCGGGCAGGGAGGAGUUUCUCACCCUGUGUGAGGUCGAGGUUCUAUCUCAGGGCUGUAUCCCACCGCCAGGGGCUCAGAACUUGGCGCUGGGACGUCCGGCCAACCAGUCGUCCACGUACAACAAUGGGACUGCAAAAGCCGAGCCUGGGAGGGCCGUGGACGGAAACCGUGAUGGGAAAUUUGAACUCGGCUCCUGCAGCCAAUCCGAGCUCGACACAGAGCCCUGGUGGACCGUGGACUUGGGCAGCCGGCAUUCCAUCUCCAUGGUGAUCGUGAAGCACAGAGAAGACGAGUGCUGCGGGGGGAAACUGAAGGGGGCCCAGAUCCACGUGGGAGACUCGCUGGUGAACCAGGGCGAGGACAACCCCCUCUGCGGGACCAUCACUGACCACAGACCCGGAUCCCUCAGCACCAUCUGCUGCAGUGGCUUGGAGGGUCGUUAUGUCACCAUCGUCAUCCCGGGCAAGACGGAGCAUCUGACCCUGUGUGAGGUCGAGGUUCUAUCUCAGGGCUGUAUCCCACCACCAGGAGCUCAGAACUUGGCGCUGGGACGUCCGGCCACUCAGUCCUCCAGUGUUGAGCACAAGACUGGGCAAGCUGAGCCUGGCAGGGCCGUGGAUGGGAACCGUGAUGGGAAGUUUGAACUCGGCUCCUGCAGCCAGACCAAGAACGACCUGGAGCCGUGGUGGAGCGUGGACUUGGGCAGGAGGUAUUCCGUCUCCAUGGUGAUCGUGAAGAACAGGGAAGACAAGUGCUGCGGGGAGAGGCUGCAGGGGGCCGAGAUCCGCGUGGGAGACUCCCUGGUGAACCACGGCAAGGACAACCCCCUCUGCGGGACCAUCACCGACCCCAGUCCCGGAUCCCUCAACAGCAUCUGCUGCAACGGGCUGGAGGGACACUUCGUCACCAUCGUCAUCCCGGGCAGGAUGGAGCAGCUCACCCUGUGUGAGGUCGAGGUUCUCUCUCAGAGCUGUGCCCCACCGCCAGGGGCUCAGAACUUGGCUCUUGGAUGUCCGGCCAUUCAGUCAUCCACAUUCGAGGACUGGACUGACAGAUCUGAGGCUGGAAAGGCCGUGGAUGGUAAACGUAGUGGGCUGUGGGAACAAGGAUCCUGCAGCCAAACUGAACUGGACAUAGAGCCGUGGUGGACCGUGGACUUGGGCAGCCGGCAUUCCGUCUCCGUGGUGAUCGUGAAGCACUUGGAAGAGGAGUGCUGUGGGGAGAGACUGAAGGGGGCCCAGAUCCACGUGGGAGACUCCCUAGUGAACCAUGGCAAGGACAACCCCAUUUGUGGGACCAUCACCAACACCGUUCCCGGAUCCCUCAGCACCGUCUGCUGCAAUGGCUGGCAGGGCCGCUACGUCACCAUCACCAUCCCGGGCAGGGCGGAGCAUCUCACCCUGUGUGAGGUCGAGGUUCUGUCUCAGAGCUGUGCCCCACCGCCAGGGGCUCAGAACUUGGCGUUGGGACGUCUGGCCAAUCAGUCGUCCACCUUCGAGGAUGAGACCGGAAAAGCCGUGGCUGGAAGGGCUGUGGAUGGGAAACAUGAUGGGAAGUUUGAACAAGGCUCCUGCAGCCUCACCAAGCUGGACAUAGAGCCGUGGUGGAUCGUGGACUUGGGCAGGCGGCAUUCCAUCUCCAUGGUGAUCGUGAAGCACAGGGAAGACAAGUGCUGUGGGGAGAGGCUGCAGGGGGCCCAGAUCCGCGUGGGAGUCUCCCGGAUGAACCACGGCAAACACAACCCUCUCUGCGGGACCAUCACCGACACCAGACCCGGAUCCAUCAGCACCAUCUGCUGCAACAGGCUGGCAGGCCGCUACGUCACCAUCGUCAUCCCGGACAGGGAAGAGUAUCUCAAUCUGUGUGAGGUCGAGGUUCUAUCUCAGGGCUGUGCCCCACCUCUAAUGGCUGAAAACUUGGCACUGUAUCGUCCGGCCAAUCAGUCGUCCACGUACCAGAACGGGACUGAAAUAGCUCUGGCUGGAAAGGCCGUGGAUGGGAAACAUGAUGGGCUGUGGAAAGAUGGCUCCUGCAGCCACACCAACCUCGACACAGAGCCAUGGUGGACCGUGGACUUGGGCAGCCGGCAUUCCGUCUCCGUGGUGAUCGUGAAGCACACGGAAGACGAGUGUUGUGGGGACAGACUGAAGGGGGCCCAGAUCCACGUGGGAGACUCCCUGGUGAACCAUGGCAAGCACAACCCCAUCUGCGGGGUCAUCACUGCCACUGAGCCCGGAGCCACCAGCACCAUCUGCUGCAACCGGCUGGAGGGGCGCUACGUCUCCAUCAUCAUCCCAGACAGGGCGGAGCAUCUCACCCUGUGUGAGGUCGAGGUUCUAUCUCAGGAAUGUGCCCCACCUCUAGUGGCUGCGGGACUAUCACUGACACCGUUCUGGGGUCCUUAGCUGAACGGCCGUUACGUCAGCAUCACCAGCCCUGUGGCACCAGCUGGAGAAGUGUGCAGAUAAUGGAUGUGGACCCUAAGGUAGCCAAGUGACGUUGCAGAGACGCAGGGACACAGCCGGGAAGGCUGAAAGGCAGGACAGUCCCUUUAAAAGUGGGACAUCGAGUCACUGUUGGCAAACUUGACUUCGUUAGUCACAUCCUCAUUGGUCCGUGUCCGUCGGCUUGCAAAGCAGUAACCAGUCACCGUGCCACCCACUGGGAACUGGAUAAAAGCGGCUGGACACCCACAGACCGGCCCAAGACGGGAUAACAAGGCUGUAGCGGUUGAAGCUCCUGGAAGAGAACUGGAGUUUCUACCUGUCUCCCAAAGCCGGUGACGGCAGGUGCCCAGGUGAGCUGUGCGAGGAUGGCGCUUCUCUGGUGCCUGUGGAUGGCGAUUGGGAUCCUCGCAGGGCCUGGGGUCUCUCAGGACUGCACCGCACCUCCAGAGGCUCAGAACUUGGCACUAAGACGUCCAGCCACGCAGUCGUCCACAUUCAGUGAGCAGAUUGAAAAAUCU